UCCACAGCCAUAUCACCCUGCAGCCCAAGACUGGUUGCCCACUGAAGCUAAGCAGGGUUGAUCCUGGUCAGUACCUGGAUGGGAGACCUGCUGGGAAAACUAGGUUGCUGUUGGAA
This 116-nucleotide ribosomal RNA is filed under the name Sinocyclocheilus anshuiensis. The record is from RNAcentral. Lineage: Eukaryota; Metazoa; Chordata; Actinopteri; Cypriniformes; Cyprinidae.